UUUGGAGAGUUUGAUCCUGGCUCAGGACGAACGCUGGCGGCGUGCUUAACACAUGCAAGUCGAACGGAAAGGUCUCUUCGGAGACACUCGAGUGGCGAACGGGUGAGUAACACGUGGGCAAUCUGCCCUGCACACCGGGAUAAGCCUGGGAAACUGGGUCUAAUACCGGAUAGGACCACUUGGCGCAUGCCUUGUGGUGGAAAGCUUUUGCGGUGUGGGAUGGGCCCGCGGCCUAUCAGCUUGUUGGUGGGGUGACGGCCUACCAAGGCGACGACGGGUAGCCGGCCUGAGAGGGUGUCCGGCCACACUGGGACUGAGAUACGGCCCAGACUCCUACGGGAGGCAGCAGUGGGGAAUAUUGCACAAUGGGCGCAAGCCUGAUGCAGCGACGCCGCGUGGGGGAUGACGGCCUUCGGGUUGUAAACCUCUUUCACCAUCGACGAAGGUCCGGGUUCUCUCGGAUUGACGGUAGGUGGAGAAGAAGCACCGGCCAACUACGUGCCAGCAGCCGCGGUAAUACGUAGGGUGCGAGCGUUGUCCGGAAUUACUGGGCGUAAAGAGCUCGUAGGUGGUUUGUCGCGUUGUUCGUGAAAUCUCACGGCUUAACUGUGAGCGUGCGGGCGAUACGGGCAGACUAGAGUACUGCAGGGGAGACUGGAAUUCCUGGUGUAGCGGUGGAAUGCGCAGAUAUCAGGAGGAACACCGGUGGCGAAGGCGGGUCUCUGGGCAGUAACUGACGCUGAGGAGCGAAAGCGUGGGGAGCGAACAGGAUUAGAUACCCUGGUAGUCCACGCCGUAAACGGUGGGUACUAGGUGUGGGUUUCCUUCCUUGGGAUCCGUGCCGUAGCUAACGCAUUAAGUACCCCGCCUGGGGAGUACGGCCGCAAGGCUAAAACUCAAAGGAAUUGACGGGGGCCCGCACAAGCGGCGGAGCAUGUGGAUUAAUUCGAUGCAACGCGAAGAACCUUACCUGGGUUUGACAUGCACAGGACGCGUCUAGAGAUAGGCGUUCCCUUGUGGCCUGUGUGCAGGUGGUGCAUGGCUGUCGUCAGCUCGUGUCGUGAGAUGUUGGGUUAAGUCCCGCAACGAGCGCAACCCUUGUCUCAUGUUGCCAGCGGGUAAUGCCGGGGACUCGUGAGAGACUGCCGGGGUCAACUCGGAGGAAGGUGGGGAUGACGUCAAGUCAUCAUGCCCCUUAUGUCCAGGGCUUCACACAUGCUACAAUGGCCGGUACAAAGGGCUGCGAUGCCGCGAGGUUAAGCGAAUCCUUUUAAAGCCGGUCUCAGUUCGGAUCGGGGUCUGCAACUCGACCCCGUGAAGUCGGAGUCGCUAGUAAUCGCAGAUCAGCAACGCUGCGGUGAAUACGUUCCCGGGCCUUGUACACACCGCCCGUCACGUCAUGAAAGUCGGUAACACCCGAAGCCAGUGGCCUAACCCUCGGGAGGGAGCUGUCGAAGGUGGGAUCGGCGAUUGGGACGAAGUCGUAACAAGGUAGCCGUA
This 1500-nucleotide ribosomal RNA is filed under the name Mycobacterium kansasii. RNAcentral describes it as "bacterial SSU rRNA". It matches the Rfam family "Bacterial small subunit ribosomal RNA". Lineage: Bacteria; Bacillati; Actinomycetota; Actinomycetes; Mycobacteriales; Mycobacteriaceae. The record is from RNAcentral.